ACACAUGCAAGUCGAACGGAAAGGCCCUUCGGGGUACUCGAGUGGCGAACGGGUGAGUAACACGUGGGUGAUCUGCCCUGCACUUUGGGAUAAGCCUGGGAAACUGGGUCUAAUACCGAAUAUGACCACAUGCUUCAUGGUGUGUGGUGGAAAGCUUUUGCGGUGUGGGAUGGGCCCGCGGCCUAUCAGCUUGUUGGUGGGGUAAUGGCCUACCAAGGCGACGACGGGUAGCCGGCCUGAGAGGGUGACCGGCCACACUGGGACUGAGAUACGGCCCAGACUCCUACGGGAGGCAGCAGUGGGGAAUAUUGCACAAUGGGCGCAAGCCUGAUGCAGCGACGCCGCGUGAGGGAUGACGGCCUUCGGGUUGUAAACCUCUUUCAAUAGGGACGAAGCGCAAGUGACGGUACCUAUAGAAGAAGGACCGGCCAACUACGUGCCAGCAGCCGCGGUAAUACGUAGGGUCCGAGCGUUGUCCGGAAUUACUGGGCGUAAAGAGCUCGUAGGUGGUUUGUCGCGUUGUUCGUGAAAACUCACAGCUUAACUGUGGGCGUGCGGGCGAUACGGGCAGACUAGAGUACUGCAGGGGAGACUGGAAUUCCUGGU
Molecule: ribosomal RNA, 606 nt
Filed under: Mycobacterium sp. MO.11
Lineage: Bacteria; Bacillati; Actinomycetota; Actinomycetes; Mycobacteriales; Mycobacteriaceae
Description: bacterial SSU rRNA
Rfam family: Bacterial small subunit ribosomal RNA
Source: RNAcentral